Molecule: ribosomal RNA, 517 nt
Filed under: uncultured bacterium
Lineage: Bacteria
Description: bacterial SSU rRNA
Rfam family: Bacterial small subunit ribosomal RNA
Source: RNAcentral
AGAGUUGAUCCUGGCUCAGGAUGAACGCUAGCGACAGGCUAACACAUGCAAGUCGAGGGGCAGCACGGGAGUAGCAAUACAACUGGUGGCGACCGGCGCACGGGUGAGUAACGCGUAUGCAACCUACCUAUCAGAGGGGAAUAACCCGGCGAAAGUCGGACUAAUACCGCAUAAAACAGGGGCACCGCAUGGUGAUAUUUGUUAAAGAAAUUCGCUGAUAGAUGGGCAUGCGUUCCAUUAGGUAGUUGGUGAGGUAACGGCUCACCAAGCCGACGAUGGAUAGGGGAACUGAGAGGUUGGUCCCCCACACUGGUACUGAGACACGGACCAGACUCCUACGGGAGGCAGCAGUGAGGAAUAUUGGUCAAUGGGCGAGAGCCUGAACCAGCCAAGUCGCGUGAAGGAAGAAGGAUCUAUGGUUCGUAAACUUCUUUUGCAGGGGAAUAAAGUGCGGGACGUGUCCUGUUUUGUAUGUACCCUGAGAAUAAGGAUCGGCUAACUCCGUGCCAGCCGCCGC